UACGAAGGGGGCUAGCGUUGCUCGGAAUCACUGGGCGUAAAGCGCACGUAGGCGGCUUCCUAAGUCAGGGGUGAAAUCCUGGAGCUCAACUCCAGAACUGCCUUUGAUACUGGGAAUCUUCGAGUCCGGGAGAGGUGAGUGGAACUGCGAGUGUAGAGGUGAAAUUCGUAGAUAUUCGCAAGAACACCAGUGGCGAAGGCGGCUCACUGGCCCGGUACUGACGCUGAGGUGCGAAAGCGUGGGGAGCAAACAGG
This 254-nucleotide ribosomal RNA is filed under the name uncultured bacterium. RNAcentral describes it as "partial 16S ribosomal RNA". It matches the Rfam family "Bacterial small subunit ribosomal RNA", at positions 524 to 776 of the family's 1533-position model. The record is from RNAcentral.